UGAAAAUAUAAAUUAUUUAAAACUUUCAACAACGGAUCUCUUGGUUCCGGCAUCGAUGAAGAACGCGGCGAAAUGCGAUACGUAAUGUGAAUUGCAAAUUCAGUGAAUCAUCGAGUCUUUGAACGCACAUUGCGCCCCCUGGUAUUCCGGGGGGCA
RNAcentral lists this ribosomal RNA (156 nucleotides) under Penicillium paneum. RNAcentral describes it as "5.8S ribosomal RNA". The stretch from base 21 to 156 matches the Rfam family "5.8S ribosomal RNA", at positions 1 to 137 of the family's 154-position model. From Rfam's summary of the family: 5.8S ribosomal RNA (5.8S rRNA) is a component of the large subunit of the eukaryotic ribosome. It is transcribed by RNA polymerase I as part of the 45S precursor that also contains 18S and 28S rRNA. Lineage: Eukaryota; Fungi; Ascomycota; Eurotiomycetes; Eurotiales; Aspergillaceae. The record is from RNAcentral.